GGAAAAUGAGGGUGGCUUUUAAAAAAGCAGUGCUAAGGGUGGGGUAAGGUGCUCUCAGCUGUGUGAUCAGCUCAGGGCCCAUAUCCCUCAUAGCCCAAUUGCUAUGAGCUACCCCUAAGGAUGGGUGAGUCCCUUACAACUGGGAGAGAGGUGGAGCCUCUGCAAAUGGUGGGAUGGGUGAUAUAAAUGAGGGGCAGCCGUAGACUGAAAGUGAGUUAUUUUACCAAAGAUUCCUGUUCUGAUGGGCAUAAGGACCUGCAGAGAAUCCUCUAGCUGACUGAAGGAAAAACCAGUGUGGUGUCUUCUUGCAAAUGAUUCUGAUGAUAAUCACAAUUAUUUUUCCUGCUGGGGACAAAUUUCUACAGUGGCAGUAGUUCAUCUAUUGAUGUUGGACCUGAUGAACCCUUGAGCAUGGACAGAGCUUGGAUGGAGAAUUCUGUAAUUGGUCUCGACUUCCUCCCCUGCAGUGCUGCACAGCUGUAAGGAAGCUGUGAUGGCUUCGAGGAAGGAGUCUGGGUUCUGUGGCUGAUGUUCCCCUGCUCGCCCACCUGCAUCCUGCUCCAUCUCCAGCAUAUGGAGGGGCUAAUUGCUGCUGUAGGAGCUGCUGCUGUGCACAGAGUUCCUGAUUUGCUGCCAUGCUUGAGGAACAGGGAUAUUCAUACCGAGGAAAUAUGCAGCCAGCCUGAAUUGCUGCUGUGAGCUUGCUCCCAUACCACUGUUCCUGUGCCAACUGUUUGACACUGCACAGUCUGGUAGAAGCCUUGCACACAUGAAGCACGCUGCUGGGAGCACCACGUCUGCAGCUACUGCUGCAAACUGC
Molecule: long non-coding RNA, 820 nt
Filed under: Phasianus colchicus (ring-necked pheasant)
Lineage: Eukaryota; Metazoa; Chordata; Aves; Galliformes; Phasianidae
Description: lncRNA (ENSPCLG00000010129.1)
Source: RNAcentral